CCUUCGAUAGCUCAGUUGGAAGAGCGUGAGACUGUAAUGGGUAACAUCGCCAUCUCAAGGUCCCUGGUUCGAGCCCGGGUCGAAGGA
Molecule: transfer RNA, 87 nt
Organism: Gloeophyllum trabeum ATCC 11539
Lineage: Eukaryota; Fungi; Basidiomycota; Agaricomycetes; Gloeophyllales; Gloeophyllaceae
Rfam family: tRNA
About the family: Transfer RNA (tRNA) molecules are approximately 80 nucleotides in length. Their secondary structure includes four short double-helical elements and three loops (D, anti-codon, and T loops). Further hydrogen bonds mediate the characteristic L-shaped molecular structure. tRNAs have two regions of fundamental functional importance: the anti-codon, which is responsible for specific mRNA codon recognition, and the 3' end, to which the tRNAs corresponding amino acid is attached (by aminoacyl-tRNA synthetases). tRNAs cope with the degeneracy of the genetic code in two manners: having more than one tRNA (with a specific anti-codon) for a particular amino acid; and 'wobble' base-pairing, i.e. permitting non-standard base-pairing at the 3rd anti-codon position.
Source: Rfam